RNAcentral lists this ribosomal RNA (367 nucleotides) under uncultured bacterium. RNAcentral's name for it is "partial 16S ribosomal RNA". It matches the Rfam family "Bacterial small subunit ribosomal RNA", at positions 338 to 702 of the family's 1533-position model. The record is from RNAcentral.
CCUACGGGAGGCAGCAGGGAGGAAUAUUGGUCAAUGGGCGCGAGCCUGAACCAGCCAAGUAGCGUGAAGGAUGACUGCCCGACGGGUUGUAAACUUCUGUUAUAAAGGAAGAAAGUGAGGCACGUGGGCCGUUUUGUAUGUACGUUAUGAAUAAGGAUCGGCUAACUCCGUGCCAGCAGCCGCGGUAAUACGGAGGAUCCGAGCGUUAUCCGGAUUUAUUGGGUUUAAAGGGAGCGUAGAUGGGUUGUUAAGUAAGUUGUGAAAGUUUGCGGCUCAACCGUAAAAUUGCAAUUGAUACGGGCAGUCUUGAGUACAGUUGCGGUAGGCGGAAUUCGUGGUGUAGCGGUUAACUGCUUAGCUAUCACGA